Molecule: long non-coding RNA, 3814 nt
Organism: Harpegnathos saltator (Jerdon's jumping ant)
Lineage: Eukaryota; Metazoa; Arthropoda; Insecta; Hymenoptera; Formicidae
Exons: 4
Source: RefSeq, a predicted model, not a curated record
CAUGAGAAAAGAUCUGUGAGAUUUAGAUCACCGGGACAAAUCGAACAUGCAUAUAUAUUGAUACGCAUGUUUGAUUCAUCAAGAAGAUUCAUUGCUUUUGAUUUCAAAUUCGAAUUAAACGACGGUGUCAUCGUGCGCUUUCGAUUUCGUAGACGACUUUCCACGUUGAUGGGAACGACCGCGUUUCGAGGAUAUCGACAGCACCAAGGGCACUUUCCCCUCACGUGCAUGCGUGAGCACGUGCGUGCGUAAGAAUUUAAUGGAUGCUGAUUUACGAGAAAGUGCGGCAAUACGCAGAUACGAUCUCUCAGCGAAGAAUUUUUUUUUUCUAUUGCUGCAACAGCGCCAGGAUGUGGCAUUCAAUUUCAAUUCGCUACUUGUUAAAAGUCCGAGUCCAGGAGAGGUCCAAGGUGUUUCCUCGGUGUUUCGAAAACGAUGUUUCGAAUUUCGUCAGUGUGAAAUAUCAUCAAUAAAUGUAAGUAUCUCGGACAUUCAUUUAUCACGCCAUAUUGUCACGACUCGGGCAAUUAGAAACUGGCUUUCCAAGUGCGUACUUAUGUACCACAUGACCGUUCGACAAUUAUUAUGGAAAGCACUCGAGCUCGUGAAGCGCGUCAUUGUCCGUCACGACCGAAAUGGCCUUAGCCGAACGUGAAACCGCCGUCCGAGUUUUACGCACUUAGAAAGUAACACGCUUUCCUCGCACCUGCUCUCCGACGGCGCGAGUGAGAUCGAUUCUCGAGAUCUCAUUCAAACUUGACCAGCGAUAUUCAAACCGCGGACCGUUUGGCGAAUCUCUUUUCGCCGUCACCGUCGUCACUUUCGGAUGAUUUAUUUCAUCUUUCCGAAGUGGACGCGCGAGUGGACGUGAAAUGCGAGUCCAGGUGAGAGAUCGGAUUUUCUCAUCGGUUUCGAAACGAUUUCGAUUAUUCGACAGGUGCGAGCCCUGAUAGCACAUGUUCUCCUGGGGACGUCCUAAGAACGUCCCUGAGGAUGAAGAAACAUCCCCAGGACGUACUCAAGACAUCUGUACUAUCAGGGAGUAAUAUGAAAAUAAUCGACGGACGAAUAUAAUAUUUAUCGAUGCAAUUGUCGUUAUCGCAGUCGUAUCCUUUUGGCAAAAAUUAUGUGAAGUAGAGAACGAUGACAAGCGAACGCAUGCACACGGAAGCUGCGCGAAUUACGUCGUCGAGACGGGACGUCAUUGUCAAUCAAACAAUGAUCCUCCACGUGAAAGGGGAGUAGAAUCGCUAAACACACCGAAAGGGCAAUGAGCGAUGAGUUACGUAAGUAAAACAUAGGUCAUAGGUAACUCACUAUUUUCCACGUAAUAACGCGCCUUGCGUAACGCCAUUUUUCCUCGAGAUCCGAGAACUCGACUGCAUGCUGCACGCGUGUCUCUACGCGCGAUUUGUAGAUAACUUCACGCGAGAGACAUCGUCGAUUAUACGUGGAGAGGAACGAAUUGAGAUAAUUAAGUUGCAAAAGUAUGCGCGUGUUAGCUGCAACUGGAGAUUAAAUUUAGGAAACAAUCUCCGGCAUGACGUUCGCUCGAACGUUUCGUCGAUGCUCGAUCGACAUCGAGCAGGAAAGCCGUAUACCGAUAUAUCCGGAAAUUCGUGCUAAUGUUGCAUAAAAAUGGCGCGCUUAUUGGCCAAUCGAUAAUCGCAACGCGAGGCGGGAAAGUGUCGCGUUUAACGAACGUCCUGUCCGCUCGCAGCCAGUUUUGUCGGUUGAAGUUCCCCGGCGGCGAUUAAUCCGAUCAGAGUGAAAGUGAGAGGUCGCAUGGAAAAAUGACGUGUAUCGGAUUCGACGGUAUAUAUAGGACGUAAUAACCGUGUUGUAAGGUUCAGUAAAAGAACGCGCUCCGGUUCUCCUUGAGGGAUCGCGCGAAAACCCUAUGAUCGUAGCGACGAAUCGAUUCUAAAUAAUCGUUUUUACUCCGUUUAUCGAUCGGUUUCUCCGAUUUCGCUGUCAGGAAAAUUGCAGAAACUUUCUCUUUCAAUAAGAUCGUUCAAAUGAUCACUAUUCUCAAAGAGCUUUCGUUUCGUAGCAAAAUUGACUUACACGAUAACGUCGUCGCAUCGCAUCUUCGAUGGAGAAAAAAAAGUCACUCUUAUGGAAGCAGAACGAUCGAAACUGCAAGCAGCAGAAACAAUUUCAGAUUCACAGUAGAGGAUAGCACAACAUGAAAGAAAGGAGUGGAAAGUGUGGUAAAUGUCGAUAUUUACAGUCCAGAUAGCGUAUACAGAAAAAAAGAUAUUAUACACAGAAAGUGGAAUUGGUUUGGAAAGUAUGUAUGUAAUUAGUUAUAUCUUUUACAUUAUACAUAAUCAUCUAUUUAUUGAAAUGACCGUUACGUAUAUGAAAAGGGCGUUCUCUUCGCGGUAGCCAGCUUUCCGCCUGCCGCGAAAAGAAAGCAAUAUUGCAUAAUGAAUAAAGAGAUAGUUGUCUGGCGACUAGCAGAGGCAGUUGUAUAGUAUAACACGCAUAACUCGCGCGAGUCGACCGGUCAGCUAAAGGAAAACUGGAGCAGCCGCCAUCGAGCGACAUUUUUGCAGAAUUCCGGGCAUGCGAGACACGACACGCUGGUCAUUGCGACUUCUGGCAUUUUCGCGUCGCUAUUAACAGAUCUCGAUUGAUUCUGCAACAGGGUGGUCUCAGAAAAAGCAUGCAAUUGUUUCGACGUGCAUUGAGUUUAUCUGUGAAACUUUUCAUGCUUCGUACGAAGUCACCAAUUAUAGAAAAAGGCAUUCUAUGAAAUACGGUCUCUCGUUGAGGCUGACUGAACAAAAAAAGUUAUAAAAAGGAAUGGCUAUUGUAUAUUGUGCAUCAAGGUUAUCAACUUUGUAGGGUGAAUGUGGCAAUUUAAACAAAUCGCGGCCGCCGCUGCUUCAGCGAGUUCUUUAUCUUGAAAAAACGAAAUCACGCUCUUGGUACGCUGUGUGAGAUACGGUUCCUUACACUCUGUACGCUCAACGUGAAACUAUCAUAUAUAAAUAGGUUCUCUCCGCGAUAUUUUAAUCAAGCUGAUCGACAUGCGUGCGAAAAACGUAAAUACGAAGAGAAAAAUUCAAACUGGUGCAACGGCAAGUUACAGAAGUACUUUCUCUCCGGUAGUAACAUUGUUUUGUGCCAAAGGCCUGCAAAUAAAGGGUGGGGAGCGCCGUCAGUCUCGAGAGCUUUAUGAAAUUAACUCGGUCACGCACGGUGGAACAGGAAUUAUGACACGUGCCUAGCAAGCAGCCGGCGAGAACCGGUUGGCGCCCCGCGAAUACAUUCGUGAGCUUGUAGAAUUGCGAGAGAGAAGGAAGUCGAUCAUUUAAAUCGUACCGCAUAAAUCUCGAUAGUACAGUCAUUAACCCGAGAAUACUGGUCGCAUUCUUAUAAUGCUCUAGUCGAGCGUUAAAUUUCAGUCAUUCCAGAAAAGAAAAAGGCGGACACGGAUUGUUGGAAAUGUUCCUGAGGCGGUAAAAGUGGAUUGAUCCAAAGAUAAUACUAAUGAAGUAACUUAAUAUUUUGUUUCAGAACCUGAAAACAUUUGGUUUUAAUUCUGAAACUUUCUAGAAGAGAAAGUAAAGAAGAAGUUUGAAAGAAAAGUUGUAGAUUUCUCUUUGGAAUAUUAAACUAGAAUAUUCCAACAAGACACAAAGCGACGAGUAUAAUGACGGGAUAAGUGAUAAACAGCGAAGAGAAACAAACAAUGGUCGAUCAGGCACAAUGCGACGACGACAGUAGGACGUGGAAGGUCCUUUGGUCCUUCAGGGAGCACUUCACUGACGUACAAGUCUCUCACUGAUUGCUGUUUUAAGGC